AAUUUACGUCGUUGUUGCUGACGUUGUCAGCACAGCCCAGGCAGCCCCGGUCUUCAAGGCUGCGGCGUGGUUUCCACAACGACCGGUCCAGUCCGCUCAGCAUCAAUUCGAGGACGAAGUACCCAUCCGGUACUGAUGC
Molecule: non-coding RNA, 139 nt
Organism: Brenneria sp. EniD312
Lineage: Bacteria; Pseudomonadati; Pseudomonadota; Gammaproteobacteria; Enterobacterales; Pectobacteriaceae
Source: Rfam